GGCUGGGUAGCUCAGCGGAUUGAGAGCCUUCCCCUCAGGGAGAAGGUCCUAGGUUCGAAUCCGGCCUCAGCCA
Molecule: transfer RNA, 73 nt
Filed under: Monodelphis domestica (gray short-tailed opossum)
Lineage: Eukaryota; Metazoa; Chordata; Mammalia; Didelphimorphia; Didelphidae
Rfam family: tRNA
About the family: Transfer RNA (tRNA) molecules are approximately 80 nucleotides in length. Their secondary structure includes four short double-helical elements and three loops (D, anti-codon, and T loops).
Source: Rfam by way of RNAcentral